GCUUGUCUCAAGAUUAAGCCAUGCAUGUCUAAGAAUAAACCGAAUAUGGUAAAUCCGCGAAUGGCUCAUUACAACAGCCUUAGUUUGUUGGAUCUAAAUCCACAGCAAUAACUGUGGAAAAGCCAGAGCUAACUCUGCAUUCAAGUCCCGACUUCGGAAGGGACGCAUUUGUUAGAACAAGACCAAUUGGCUUCGGCCAUCUAUUGGUGAAUCUGAGCAACUUAGCAGAUCGCAUGGGCUCGUCCCGGCGACAUAUCCUUCAAGUGUCUGCCUUAUCAACUGUCGAUGGUAGUUUAUUGGACUACCAUGGUUGUAACGGGUAACGGAGAAUUAGGGUUCGACUCCGGAGAGGGAGCCUGAGAUACGGCUACCACAUCCAAGGAAGGCAGCAGGC
Molecule: ribosomal RNA, 394 nt
Filed under: Nematoda environmental sample
Lineage: Eukaryota; Metazoa; Nematoda
Description: SSU rRNA
Rfam family: Eukaryotic small subunit ribosomal RNA
Source: RNAcentral